AACGAACGCUGGCGGCAUGCCUAACACAUGCAAGUCGAACGAGACCUUCGGGUCUAGUGGCGCACGGGUGCGUAACGCGUGGGAACCUGCCCUUAGGUUCGGAAUAACUCCCCGAAAGGGGUGCUAAUACCGGAUAAUGUCUUCGGACCAAAGAUUUAUCGCCUUUGGAUGGGCCCGCGUUGGAUUAGCUAGUUGGUAGGGUAAAAGCCUACCAAGGCGACGAUCCAUAGCUGGUCUGAGAGGAUGAUCAGCCACACUGGGACUGAGACACGGCCCAGAAUCCUACGGGAGGCAGCAGUGGGGAAUAUUGGACAAUGGGCGAAAGCCUGAUCCAGCAAUGCCGCGUGAGUGAUGAAGGCCUUAGGGUUGUAAAGCUCUUUUACCCGGGAUGAUAAUGACAGUACCGGGAGAAUAAGCCCCGGCUAACUCCGUG
RNAcentral lists this ribosomal RNA (433 nucleotides) under uncultured bacterium. RNAcentral's name for it is "partial 16S ribosomal RNA". It matches the Rfam family "Bacterial small subunit ribosomal RNA", at positions 29 to 507 of the family's 1533-position model. The record is from RNAcentral.